RNAcentral lists this ribosomal RNA (336 nucleotides) under uncultured bacterium. Its description in RNAcentral is "bacterial SSU rRNA". It matches the Rfam family "Bacterial small subunit ribosomal RNA", at positions 1 to 334 of the family's 1533-position model. The record is from RNAcentral.
GACGUGACUUCAGAGUUUGAUCCUGGCUCAGGACGAACGCUGGCGGCGUGCCUAACACAUGCAAGUCGAACGGACGAAGCCCUUCGGGGCCUAGUUAGUGGCGAACGGGUGAGUAACGCGUGAGGAACCUGCCUUUCAGAGGGGGACAACAGUUGGAAACGACUGCUAAUACCGCAUAAUGCAUCGAGACCGCAUGAUCUUGAUGCCAAAGAUUUAUCGCUGAAAGAUGGCCUCGCGUCUGAUUAGCUAGUUGGCGGGGUAACGGCCCACCAAGGCGACGAUCAGUAGCCGGACUGAGAGGUUGAACGGCCACAUUGGGACUGAGAUACGGCCCAG